RNAcentral lists this ribosomal RNA (253 nucleotides) under uncultured bacterium. RNAcentral describes it as "partial 16S ribosomal RNA". It matches the Rfam family "Bacterial small subunit ribosomal RNA", at positions 524 to 776 of the family's 1533-position model. The record is from RNAcentral.
GACAGAGGUGCCAAGCGUUAGGCGGAAUCACUGGGCUUAAAGCGUGUGUAGGCGGAUCGUUAAGUGCCUUGUGAAAUCCCACGGCUCAACCGUGGAACUGCUGGGUAUACUGGGCGUCUUGGGCCAUUCAGGGGCGACUGGAACAAGCGGUGGAGCGGUGAAAUGCGUAGAUAUCGCUUGGAACGCCGAAGGUGAAAACAGGUCGCUGGGGAUGUGCCGACGCUGAGACACGAAAGCCAGGGGAGCAAACGGG